This 515-nucleotide ribosomal RNA is filed under the name uncultured Actinomycetes bacterium. RNAcentral describes it as "bacterial SSU rRNA". It matches the Rfam family "Bacterial small subunit ribosomal RNA", at positions 355 to 857 of the family's 1533-position model. Lineage: Bacteria; Bacillati; Actinomycetota; Actinomycetes. The record is from RNAcentral.
UGGGGAAUCUUGCGCAAUGGGCGAAAGCCUGACGCAGCGACGCCGCGUGCGGGAAGAAGGCCUUCGGGUUGUAAACCGCUUUCAGGAGGGACGAAGCCGACUCGGGUUAAUAGCCCAGAGGGUGACGGUACCUCCAGAAGAAGCCCCGGCUAACUACGUGCCAGCAGCCGCGGUAAUACGUAGGGGGCUAGCGUUGUCCGGAUUUAUUGGGCGUAAAGAGCGCGUAGGCGGCCGAGUAAGUCCGACGUGAAAUCUGGAGGCUCAACCUCCAGCGGUCGUUGGAAACUACUCGGCUAGAGUCCGGAAGAGGAGAGUGGAAUUCCUGGUGUAGCGGUGAAAUGCGCAGAUAUCAGGAAGAACACCGAUGGCGAAAGCAGCUCUCUGGGACGGUACUGACGCUGAGGCGCGAAAGCGUGGGGGAGCGGAACAGGAUUAGGAUACCCUGGUAGUCCGACGCCGUAAACGAUGGGUGCUAGGUGUGGGCGGUGUCGACUCCGCCCGUGCCGAAGCUAACG